CCACUAGACCUCAACAUGAGCUUGGAAUGCUUCUUAAUAUAAUAAUCUGUCCAACAUCAACAGAUGGAAUUCAAAACUCUUUAAUACGACAGCCAAAGACGAGCUGCAUUGUGCUACAACUUUCUCAUCUCUGCUAUUUCACACAUAAAAUAGAAGUCACCAGAAUGUGAAGUGAACUUCUGAUGAUAAGCCAAGGAGCAGUGAGUGGCCAUCUGGUGCACUACUUGGGUUCCUGGAGACUGGUGAUUCCUCACAGCAACUGGAUGGUGACGUGGUUUCAAGAAAGAUAUAUCAUUGGCCUCAUAUAUGUUAAAAACAAACUGGUAUUGCUGAUGUCAACAUUGCACCAUGAUGGAAAUAUUAAUAAGGAAACCUUGACAAAAUGAAAGCCUGCAACAGAAACUCUCUACAACAAAACCAAAGGUGAGUUGAUGCUGCUGAUGAGUUAUGUGUAACUAUGAUACUGAAACAUAAAGCAUUGGCCAAUGGUUGUGUUUUUCUCAAUUCUAAAUGUGUGGCAUAGAUAUUAUGAUAGUUUACAAAGAAAAUAAAAAGUGCAUAAUACCACAGGGAAAUCUUAGGUGAUUGGGACUGGAAAUCACAAGAAAUAAUUUAUAGCAGAGGAAAAACAAAAUGUUGCUGCCCAGGGAACUACACAAUAAUAAUUUUGGAGCAAAAUGGUAAGCUGACAGGUGAACAGCAGGAACAGC
This 710-nucleotide long non-coding RNA is filed under the name Fukomys damarensis (Damara mole-rat). RNAcentral describes it as "lncRNA (ENSFDAG00000021987.1)". The record is from RNAcentral. Lineage: Eukaryota; Metazoa; Chordata; Mammalia; Rodentia; Bathyergidae.